Molecule: ribosomal RNA, 638 nt
Filed under: uncultured bacterium
Lineage: Bacteria
Description: bacterial SSU rRNA
Rfam family: Bacterial small subunit ribosomal RNA
Source: RNAcentral
AUGGAUGGACCCGCGGUGCAUUAGCUAGUUGGUGAGGUAACGGCUCACCAAGGCCACGAUGCAUAGCCGACCUGAGAGGGUGAUCGGCCACACUGGGACUGAGACACGGCCCAGACUCCUACGGGAGGCAGCAGUAGGGAAUCUUCGGCAAUGGACGAAAGUCUGACCGAGCAACGCCGCGUGAGUGAAGAAGGUUUUCGGAUCGUAAAACUCUGUUGUUAGAGAAGAACAAGGAUGAGAGUAGAACGUUCAUCCCUUGACGGUAUCUAACCAGAAAGCCACGGCUAACUACGUGCCAGCAGCCGCGGUAAUACGUAGGUGGCAAGCGUUGUCCGGAUUUAUUGGGCGUAAAGCGAGCGCAGGCGGUUUCUUAAGUCUGAUGUGAAAGCCCCCGGCUCAACCGGGGAGGGUCAUUGGAAACUGGGAGACUUGAGUGCAGAAGAGGAGAGUGGAAUUCCAUGUGUAGCGGUGAAAUGCGUAGAUAUAUGGAGGAACACCAGUGGCGAAGGCGGCUCUCUGGUCUGUAACUGACGCUGAGGCUCGAAAGCGUGGGGAGCGAACAGGAUUAGAUACCCUGGUAGUCCACGCCGUAAACGAUGAGUGCUAAGUGUUGGAGGGUUUCCGCCCUUCAGUGCUGC